Molecule: long non-coding RNA, 325 nt
Organism: Alligator mississippiensis (American alligator)
Lineage: Eukaryota; Metazoa; Chordata; Crocodylia; Alligatoridae
Exons: 2
Source: RefSeq, a predicted model, not a curated record
UUUUUUUUAAAGAAAUAAUAUGGAACUUGAGUGUGUUUGUUUUUUUGGGCCAUUUUAAGUUCACCCUGUGUUGACACGGAUGACAGGGAAAGGCGAUCGCAGGCCUCACGCAAGCAAGAGGGAUCCGACGGAGCGAUCGGAAACAGCGGAAGCAACACAUGCCCUGGGAUCACGAAGGGGGGAAAAAAGAAGGAAUAUUUUCUCCCCCUCCCGGAAUGAGCUCGAGAUCCGGAGAAGAAGGCAGACAGAUUUAGUCUGAAAGCACUCAAGGAUCCUAUUUCUGUAAUCAUGUGGUUCCAAUAAACGCUCAUUGUUUGCCCAUAAA